UACAGAGGGUGCGAGCGUUGUCCGGAAUCACUGGGCGUAAAGGGCGCGUAGGCGGCCUGGUAAGUAGGGGGUGAAAUCUUGCGGCUCAACUGCAAGGCUGCCUCCUAAACUGUCAGGCUUGAGCACAGUAGAGGCAGGUGGAAUUCCCGGUGUAGCGGUGGAAUGCGUAGAGAUCGGGAAGAACGUCGGUGGCGAAGGCGGCCUGCUGGGCUGUUGCUGACGCUGAGGCGCGACAGCGUGGGGAGCAAACAGG
RNAcentral lists this ribosomal RNA (253 nucleotides) under uncultured bacterium. RNAcentral describes it as "partial 16S ribosomal RNA". It matches the Rfam family "Bacterial small subunit ribosomal RNA", at positions 524 to 776 of the family's 1533-position model. The record is from RNAcentral.